This is a microRNA precursor of Cercocebus atys (sooty mangabey), 79 nucleotides long. The record is from Ensembl. NCBI's taxonomy places the organism in Eukaryota, Metazoa, Chordata, Mammalia, Primates, Cercopithecidae.
UUAGGUUGGUGCAAAAGUAAUUGCGGUUUUUGCAAUUACUUUUAAUGGCAAAAACUGUAAUUACUUUCAUACCAACCUA